This 253-nucleotide ribosomal RNA is filed under the name uncultured bacterium. RNAcentral describes it as "partial 16S ribosomal RNA". It matches the Rfam family "Bacterial small subunit ribosomal RNA", at positions 524 to 776 of the family's 1533-position model. The record is from RNAcentral.
GACAGAGGGGGCAAGCGUUGUUCGGAAUUAUUGGGCGUAAAGCGCGUGUAGGCGGUCUGAUUAGUCUGAUGUGAAAGCCCUGGGCUCAACCCAGGAAGUGCAUUGGAUACUGUCAGACUUGAAUACGGGAGAGGGUAGUGGAAUUCCUAGUGUAGGAGUGAAAUCCGUAGAUAUUAGGAGGAACACCGGUGGCGAAGGCGGCUGCCUGGACCGAUACUGACGCUGAGGCGCGAAAGCGUGGGGAGCAAACAGG